This is a long non-coding RNA of Dermochelys coriacea (leatherback sea turtle), 620 nucleotides long. RefSeq lists it as uncharacterized. The record is from RefSeq and is a predicted model, not a curated record. The transcript is spliced from 2 exons. Lineage: Eukaryota; Metazoa; Chordata; Testudines; Dermochelyidae.
UUAUUUCAUUUUUUGCAAAAAAAAGUAAAAAUAAAAAUAGAUUUUUUAAAAAUGAUCUGCAAUUUAGUUUAAAAUUAAAGAUAAUUUUUUGCAAUUAAUAGACUAAUUAACACACUUGCUUUACUUACAGGAAUUUAUAUUUUUUGGUGGGCAGCCGGUUGGAGAAAAUCUGAAAAUAUUUUUAAAGAAAUUCUCUGCUCGUUUGUGGUAUUAUGGGUUUAGUUUUGCAGAAAUAUUUUACACUUUUAAAAAAAUUACAGGCAUUUAUUCUGUUUUUGGCAGUAAUUUUGAGGAAAAUGCAAUAUUUUUUUGAGAAAUUCUCUAUAUUUCCAGGUAUCCCCCUAGCUUUGCUAAUCCAUACACACUGGUGGCUGCUCCGCUGUAGUCUGUGCGCUAAGGCACCAACCAGGAGGAGCUGGGAAACCACCGGUCUGAGGCUGAGCUCCAGAUGAUGUGAGCUGAGCCGUAUGGUAGAAAAGUUCUCCAGGGGCUACCCUUCGUGGCUGCCAAGUCAGCACCAGUUUGAAGCCCAGCCUGCACCCCAAGUGGUAGUUGAUCAGCCCUGACCAGAAUAAGAUCAGCCCUGUCUUGAUCCCUCGGGACCAGUGCAUAAUUUAUAA